This 521-nucleotide long non-coding RNA is filed under the name Rosa chinensis. RNAcentral's name for it is "sRNA RchiOBHm_Chr6g0279741". Lineage: Eukaryota; Viridiplantae; Streptophyta; Magnoliopsida; Rosales; Rosaceae. The record is from RNAcentral.
UCCUCCAAAAACCCUAGAACUUGAAGCUAAUUUGGGGGGGGUUUUUGUGAUUUCUUCUUUCCAAGCUUAAAUCAAGGUAAUAUCCCUCCUAAUCUAGCCUCUAUUCAUCUGAUCUACGCCUAUUUCUUCCUAAAUCCGAGUUUUUGAUUUGGAUUUGUGAUUUUGUUUGCAUGAACCCGAUUUCUCCUUAAACCAUGAAGCUAGGCUAUGGGUUUGGCAAGGAUUUUUGGUGAAGAAGGCCAAGGAGAAGGAAUAGGCCGUGAUUUUUGAAGAAGAAAGGGAAACACGAUCGUUAAGAAAGCUUAAGCGGAAAGCAUUAGAGUGUGGAGUACGCCAGCAUUUUCCAGGUUACAACGAGGUCAUUCCAGACGAUUUGGAUUAGAAGUGGGUCGUUGGCCGAGUUCGUGUGUUGCUGUUCCUGUUGCUUGAAGUUCUUCCCUUUUGGUAUUCCAUCGAUUUACUCGUUUUUCAUUCUAUGUUGAACUCUGUGAGGUUCGCCUACCUGGGAGCGCGCCUCACCC